CCAGCUCGUGUCGUGAGAUGUUGGGUUAAGUCCCGCAACGAGCGCAACCCCUACGUUUAGUUGCUAACAGGUGAAGCUGAGCACUCUAGACGAACUGCCGUUGACAAAACGGAGGAAGGUGGGGAUGACGUCAAAUCAUCAUGCCCCUUAUGUUCUGGGCUACACACGUGCUACAAUGGCCGGUACAGACGGAGGCGAAGCCGCGAGGCGGAGCAAAUCCGAAAAAGCCGGUCUCAGUUCGGAUUGCAGGCUGCAAUUCGCCUGCAUGAAGUCGGAAUCGCUAGUAAUCGCAGGUCAGCAUACUGCGGUGAAUACGUUCCCGGGCCUU
RNAcentral lists this ribosomal RNA (328 nucleotides) under uncultured Pelotomaculum sp. RNAcentral's name for it is "bacterial SSU rRNA". It matches the Rfam family "Bacterial small subunit ribosomal RNA", at positions 1055 to 1382 of the family's 1533-position model. The record is from RNAcentral. Lineage: Bacteria; Bacillati; Bacillota; Clostridia; Eubacteriales; Desulfotomaculaceae.